GUUACAAACGUCACAUCUUUGAUAUUUUGUUUUUAAAUAAUUAUUUUACCUUAUUUUCUUUAAUAUUUCAUUAAUAAUUAUCUUCUUCUAUUUGGUUUACCCAUUUUCCCCUUUAAUAAAAAUCGGUUGGCGUCCAUUCUAUAAUAGGCAACCCUAUUUACAUUGUAUCUUCUCUCGUGUUCCAUGUUCGUUAUUUCAAAUUUCGGUCCAAGGUUCGUUGUCAUGUCAUUUUAAUGACAAUGACAACCCCCAUAUCUCAUUCUCAAAAUGGGGGUGGAAAUGUUUUAAAAAGCAAAGCAGCUUCAAAAAUAAAUCAUUUUAUUUCAACAAAUCAUCUUCCUCUUGGGUUUUUGGGAAUAAAGAUCACAGUCCUCCCUCCGGGAGCUUCAAGCCAUCCACACCGGUGAUGGAACUAGGGCUAUACCACAACAAUGGACCAUGAAAUCUAGGCUGCAACACUGAACAUCUUUUGCUGCACUGACCUAGGGCCUCAACAUCUGCCCAGGUCAAGAGAAGUCCACAGCAGUACCAUACGACAUCAAGAAGAUACCAUCAGCUACCAAAAGCCAUAAGUAUAAUCCAGAAUUGUUAGUUUUUGGCAAGAAUUUAAAUACAUUUGUUAAUGCAAUUUACUAAGUCAUUUUAUUUAUUAUAUCUUUAUGAACAAUAAACAUGAUUAGUUAAAA
Diabrotica virgifera virgifera (western corn rootworm) is the source of this 686-nucleotide long non-coding RNA. RefSeq lists it as uncharacterized. The transcript is spliced from 2 exons. NCBI's taxonomy places the organism in Eukaryota, Metazoa, Arthropoda, Insecta, Coleoptera, Chrysomelidae. The record is from RefSeq and is a predicted model, not a curated record.